RNAcentral lists this ribosomal RNA (474 nucleotides) under uncultured organism. RNAcentral's name for it is "partial 16S ribosomal RNA". It matches the Rfam family "Bacterial small subunit ribosomal RNA", at positions 331 to 797 of the family's 1533-position model. The record is from RNAcentral.
GUACACUCCUGCGGGAGGCAGCAGUGGGGAAUUUUGGACAAUGGGCGAAAGCCUGAUCCAGCAAUGCCGCGUGAGUGAAGAAGGCCUUCGGGUUGUAAAGCUCUUUUGUCAGGGAAGAAACGGUGAAAGCUAAUAUCUUUUGCUAAUGACGGUACCUGAAGAAUAAGCACCGGCUAACUACGUGCCAGCAGCCGCGGUAAUACGUAGGGUGCAAGCGUUAAUCGGAAUUACUGGGCGUAAAGCGUGCGCAGGCGGUUUUGUAAGUCUGAUGUGAAAUCCCCGGGCUCAACCUGGGAAUUGCAUUGGAGACUGCAAGGCUAGAAUCUGGCAGAGGGGGGUAGAAUUCCACGUGUAGCAGUGAAAUGCGUAGAUAUGUGGAGGAACACCGAUGGCGAAGGCAGCCCCCUGGGUCAAGAUUGACGCUCAUGCACGAAAGCGUGGGGAGCAAACAGGAUUAGAUACCCGUGUAGUCCC